GUCCACGCCGUAAACGAUGAGUACUAGCUGUAUGGGUAUCGACUCCCUGUGUAGCGAAGCUAACGCGAUAAGUACUCCGCCUGGGGACUACGACCGCAAGGUUAAACUCAAAGGAAUUGACGGGGCCCGCACAAGCAGCGGAGCGUGCGGUUUAAUUCGAAGCUACGCGAAGAACCUUACCAGGGCUUGACAUGGCGCUGACCGCCGAUGAAAAGUCGGCUUCCCUUCGGGGCGCGUCACAGAUGCUGCAUGGCUGUCGU
This 260-nucleotide ribosomal RNA is filed under the name uncultured bacterium. RNAcentral describes it as "partial 16S ribosomal RNA". It matches the Rfam family "Bacterial small subunit ribosomal RNA", at positions 793 to 1055 of the family's 1533-position model. The record is from RNAcentral.